GACGAACGCUGGCGGCGUGCUUAACACAUGCAAGUCGAACGGUGAAGCGCCUUCCUUUUUGGUGGGUGUGGAUGAGUGGCGAACGGGUGAGUAACACGUGAGUAACCGCCCCCUUCUUCUGGAUAACCGCAUGAAAGUGUGGCUAAUACGGGAUAUUCUGGGUCUGUCGCAUGAUGGGUCUGGGAAAGAUAUUGUUUCGGUGGGGGAUGGGCUCGCGGCCUAUCAGCUUGUUGGUGGGGUGAUGGCCUACCAAGGCGUUGACGGGUAGCCGGCCUGAGAGGGUGGACGGUCACACUGGGACUGAGACACGGCCCAGACUCCUACGGGAGGCAGCAGGGGGGAAUAUUGCACAAUGGGCGCAAGCCUGAUGCAGCGACGCCGCGUGAGGGAUGGAGGCCUUCGGGUUGUGAACCUCUUUCGCCAGUGAAGCAGGCCUGCCUCGUUUGUGGGUGGGUUGACGGUAGCUGGAUAAGAAGCGCCGGCUAACUACGUG
Molecule: ribosomal RNA, 493 nt
Filed under: uncultured bacterium
Lineage: Bacteria
Description: partial 16S ribosomal RNA
Rfam family: Bacterial small subunit ribosomal RNA
Source: RNAcentral